This 683-nucleotide ribosomal RNA is filed under the name uncultured Candidatus Saccharibacteria bacterium. RNAcentral's name for it is "bacterial SSU rRNA". It matches the Rfam family "Bacterial small subunit ribosomal RNA", at positions 770 to 1482 of the family's 1533-position model. The record is from RNAcentral. Lineage: Bacteria; Candidatus Saccharimonadota.
GAACGGGAUUAGAUACCCCGGUAGUCCACGCUGUAAACGAUGGAUGCUAGCAGUGUGCNGUAUCGACCCGGUGUGUUGCGAAGCUAACGCAUUAAGCACCCCGCCUGAGUAGUACGAUCGCAAGAUUAAAACUCAAAGGAAUUGACGGGGACCCGCACAAGCGGUGGAGCGUGUUGUUUAAUCGGAUGGUAAGCCUAGAACCUUACCAGGGCUUGACAUCCAGGGAAGGUCUGCGAAAGUAGACUGUGCCUUUUGGAACCCUGUGACAGGUGAUGCAUGGCCGUCGUCAGCUCGUGUCGUGAGAUGUUAGGUUAAGUCCUUCAACGAGCGCAACCCUUGUGAAUAGUUGUAUUUUUCUAUUCAGACUGCCCCGGUAACGGGGAGGAAGGAGGGGAUGAUGUCAGGUCAGUAUUUCCCUUACGUCCUGGGCUAGAAACGUAAUACAAUGGCUAGUACAAUGCGCAGCGAAGCCGCGAGGUGAAGCAAAUCGCAUCAAAGCUAGUCCCAGUUCGGAUUGUAGGCUGAAACUCGCCUGCAUGAAGUCGGAAUCGCUAGUAAUCGCAAAUCAGCAAGUUGCGGUGAAUACGUUCCCGGGUCUUGUACACACCGCCCGUCAAACCAUGAAAGUGACCAACACCCGAAGUCCGAUUCGUCGGCCUAAGGUGGGGGGCAUGAUUGGGGUU